This 76-nucleotide transfer RNA is filed under the name Candidatus Beckwithbacteria bacterium CG10_big_fil_rev_8_21_14_0_10_34_10. RNAcentral describes it as "tRNA-Ile". It matches the Rfam family "tRNA". From Rfam's summary of the family: Transfer RNA (tRNA) molecules are approximately 80 nucleotides in length. Their secondary structure includes four short double-helical elements and three loops (D, anti-codon, and T loops). Lineage: Bacteria; Candidatus Beckwithiibacteriota. The record is from RNAcentral.
GGGCCAGUAGCUCAGCGGCUAGAGCACUAUCCUUAUAAGAUAGGGGUCGACGGUUCGAAUCCAUCCUGGCCCACAA